GAUGAAGAACGUAGCGAAAUGCGAUAAGUAGUGUGAAUUGCAGAAUUCAGUGAAUCAUCGAAUCUUUGAACGCACAUUGCGCCUCCUGGUAUUCCGGGAGGCAUGCCUGUUCGAGCGUCAUCAAAAACCUCAACCCAUGAUUUAUUGUGAGUUGGUUCUGCAUUGGACUCCUUGUGGGUCCUUUGCGAAAUCCAAUGGCGAAGAGCCACGCAACCAAAGCGUAGUAUAACUAUUUCGUUAUGGAAGCGUGGGUGCCUCUGCCGUAACCCCCAAUUUCUUAGUUUUUGACCUCGGAUCAGGUAGGGAUACCCUCUGAACUUAAGCAUAUCAAUAAGCGGAGGA
This 342-nucleotide unclassified non-coding RNA is filed under the name soil metagenome. RNAcentral's name for it is "partial contains 5.8S ribosomal RNA, internal transcribed spacer 2, and large subunit ribosomal RNA". The stretch from base 1 to 120 matches the Rfam family "5.8S ribosomal RNA", at positions 35 to 154 of the family's 154-position model. The record is from RNAcentral.